This 254-nucleotide ribosomal RNA is filed under the name uncultured bacterium. Its description in RNAcentral is "partial 16S ribosomal RNA". It matches the Rfam family "Bacterial small subunit ribosomal RNA", at positions 524 to 776 of the family's 1533-position model. The record is from RNAcentral.
UACAGAGGUCCCAAGCGUUUGUUCGGAUUCACUGGGCGUAAAGGGUGCGCAGGUGGGUUUGCAAGUUCGAUGUGAAAGCCCCGGGCUUAACCCGGGAAUGGCAUUGGAUACUGCAGAUCUGGAGGAUCGGAGGGGGGACUGGAAUUCUUGGUGUAGCAGUGAAAUGCGUAGAUAUCAAGAGGAACACCAGUGGCGAAGGCGAGUCCCUGGACGGUACCUGACACUGAGGCGCGAAAGCUAGGGGAGCAAACAGG